Molecule: ribosomal RNA, 224 nt
Filed under: uncultured bacterium
Lineage: Bacteria
Description: partial 16S ribosomal RNA
Rfam family: Bacterial small subunit ribosomal RNA
Source: RNAcentral
AGUAACGCGUGGGUAACCUGCCUCAUACAGGGGGAUAACAGUUAGAAAUGACUGCUAAUACCGCAUAAGCGCACAGUGCUGCAUGGCACAGUGUGAAAAACUCCGGUGGUAUGAGAUGGACCCGCGUCUGAUUAGCUAGUUGGUGGGGUAACGGCCUACCAAGCGACGAUCAGUAGCCGACCUGAGAGGGUGACCGGCCACAUUGGGACUGAGACACGGCCCAA